This 450-nucleotide ribosomal RNA is filed under the name uncultured organism. RNAcentral describes it as "partial 16S ribosomal RNA". It matches the Rfam family "Bacterial small subunit ribosomal RNA", at positions 333 to 799 of the family's 1533-position model. The record is from RNAcentral.
ACACUCCUGCGGGAGGCAGCAGUGGGGAAUCUUGCGCAAUGGGCGAAAGCCUGACGCAGCCAUGCCGCGUGAAUGAUGAAGGUCUUAGGAUUGUAAAAUUCUUUCACCGGGGACGAUAAUGACGGUACCCGGAGAAGAAGCCCCGGCUAACUUCGUGCCAGCAGCCGCGGUAAUACGAAGGGGGCUAGCGUUGCUCGGAAUUACUGGGCGUAAAGGGAGCGUAGGCGGACAUUUAAGUCAGGGGUGAAAUCCCGGGGCUCAACCUCGGAAUUGCCUUUGAUACUGGGUGUCUUGAGUAUGAGAGAGGUGUGUGGAACUCCGAGUGUAGAGGUGAAAUUCGUAGAUAUUCGGAAGAACACCAGUGGCGAAGGCGACACACUGGCUCAUUACUGACGCUGAGGCUCGAAAGCGUGGGGAGCAAACAGGAUUAGAUACCCUGGUAGUCCCAUG